AGUGAACGCUGGCGGUAGGCCUAACACAUGCAAGUCGAACGGCAGCACAGUAAGAGCUUGCUCUUACGGGUGGCGAGUGGCGGACGGGUGAGGAAUACAUCGGAAUCUACUUUUUCGUGGGGGAUAACGUAGGGAAACUUACGCUAAUACCGCAUACGACCUACGGUUGAAAGCAGGGGAUCUUCGGACCUUGCGCGAUUGAAUGAGCCGAUGUCGGAUUAGCUAGUUGGCGGGGUAAAGGCCCACCAAGGCGACGAUCCGUAGCUGGUCUGAGAGGAUGAUAAGCCACACUGGAACUGAGACACGGUCCAGACUCCUACGGGAGGCAGCAGUGGGGAAUAUUGGACAGUGGGCGCAAGCCUGAUACAGCCAGACCGCGUGGGUGAAGAAGGCCUUCGGGUUGUAAAGCCCUUUUGUUGGGAAAGAAAAGCAGCAGGUUAAUACCCCGCUGUUCUGACGGUACCCAAAGAAUAAGCACCGGCUAACUUCGUG
Molecule: ribosomal RNA, 492 nt
Filed under: uncultured bacterium
Lineage: Bacteria
Description: partial 16S ribosomal RNA
Rfam family: Bacterial small subunit ribosomal RNA
Source: RNAcentral